Cervus elaphus (red deer) is the source of this 856-nucleotide long non-coding RNA. RefSeq lists it as uncharacterized. NCBI's taxonomy places the organism in Eukaryota, Metazoa, Chordata, Mammalia, Artiodactyla, Cervidae. The transcript is spliced from 3 exons. The record is from RefSeq and is a predicted model, not a curated record.
AAAGCAUUGUAUGAUGCUAGUGUACAACAGAACAUGCUCUGGGAAACAUUACAGCAGACCUAACGUAAUCUAAUUAAGAGGUGAAACAGUGCUCUGACCCAGAAUCCUGAAGACAGGCAAGGGUAGAGCCUUCCCAUUGGUUCUUCAAAGCUUACAGAUAUUAGGCACAACGCCUUUAACUGCCUAACAGCUAAAACAGCAGAGAGGUGGAAACAGAGCACUGACAGAGAGAGGAGAAUUUGAGAAGUAUGGGGAGCCAAGUGUACCCAGCAUUUAAAACAACCUGAGGUCAGUUGUCAUGACCUGAAAUUGGACCCCUCCAAGCAACAAGCUAGGCACCAUUUCAAAAUAUAUGGUCCCACCAAUAUCUUCCCUUAAAGACUAAAGUGAUAUCUUCAGGAGUCCUACCAUCCAAGAUGCACCAGGAAUAGGCGCCUGCCUCGAACAUUCCUCUUCCUUUGGAGCAGCAUUCACUCCCAAGAGGAGACCAGUUACCCAAAUGGCCGCUGCAUCACCACUACCACUCCAGAAGCAGCUGUUACCAGUCAGAGGGCUGGAGACCACCAGAUACUUUCAUGUUGACAGCAAAUGGAGGCUCACGUCCAUUAUACUGGCUGUAAUGAUCUGCCCAGUGUCUACAUGUCACCCUAAACUGACCAACAGGACCCAUUUCCCAAUCUUGUCCCAAGGGACAGAAAGUUCCUGCUGGACACAGCCAAAGCCAUGUGGUUCCUUAGUUCUAUAUCUGAGCAUGGGUGGAUCUGGGUUCAAACGUCAGCAGCAUUAAAUAAAAUUACUUUGCCAACAAAGGUCCGUCUAGUCAAAGCUAUGGUUUUUCCAGUAGUCAUGUAUGGAU